This 468-nucleotide ribosomal RNA is filed under the name uncultured bacterium. RNAcentral's name for it is "partial 16S ribosomal RNA". It matches the Rfam family "Bacterial small subunit ribosomal RNA", at positions 28 to 507 of the family's 1533-position model. The record is from RNAcentral.
GACGAACGCUGGCGGCGUGCUUAACACAUGCAAGUCGAACGGAAAGGCCCUGCUUUUGUGGGGUGCUCGAGUGGCGAACGGGUGAGUAACACGUGAGUAACCUGCCCUUGACUUUGGGAUAACUUCAGGAAACUGGGGCUAAUACCGGAUAGGAGCUCCUGCUGCAUGGUGGGGGUUGGAAAGUUUCGGCGGUUGGGGAUGGACUCGCGGCUUAUCAGCUUGUUGGUGGGGUAGUGGCUUACCAAGGCUUUGACGGGUAGCCGGCCUGAGGGGGUGACCGGCCACAUUGGGACUGAGAUACGGCCCAGACUCCUACGGGAGGCAGCAGUGGGGAAUAUUGCACAAUGGGCGGAAGCCUGAUGCAGCAACGCCGCGUGCGGGAUGACGGCCUUCGGGGUGUAAACCGCUUUCGCCUGUGACGAAGCGUGAGUGACGGUAAUGGGUAAAGAAGCACCGGCUAACUACGUG